RNAcentral lists this long non-coding RNA (588 nucleotides) under Rattus norvegicus (Norway rat). Its description in RNAcentral is "long non-coding RNA NONRATT031855". Lineage: Eukaryota; Metazoa; Chordata; Mammalia; Rodentia; Muridae. The record is from RNAcentral.
CUCUGCUGUCAGAACUCUGGUGCUGACGGGGAGUGUAUCGGUUCUUUUUCUGUUGCUGUAACAGACAUAACUGAAACUGGGUCCUCAGAGUUAGCUGGGACUUAAACCAGGGCCUUGUGCUUCCUACACAAGCCCCAAAGUCAUAAACCCUGAUCACAAAUUUAUUUUAUUUAUUCAGGUCAAAGGUCAAAGGUUCCACUUCCUUGAUCUUCCUCCCACUGGAGAUCAAGCUUGGAUGAAUUCACUGGGUAUGAAACCACUACAAACCAUAGCAUGAGGACAGCUCGGAACCACAGGGUGGAUGAUUCUUUUUCGAUAAGGUGACUCUAGCUGGCAGUAACAGCUAACCAGAAGAAGUUCAUAGGAGGGAAGAGACCUGGCAAAAAUCUCCAACUCGGGCUGGAGAGAUAGCUCAAUGGUAAAAGCACUGACUGCUCUUCCAGAGGUCCUGAGUUCAAAUCCCAGCAACCACAUGGUGGCUCACAACCAUCUGUAAUGAGAUCUGAUGCCCUCUUCUGGUGUGUCUGAAGACAGCUACAGUGUACUCAUAUAUAAUAAAUAAAUCUUUAAAAAAAAAAACAACCCAAC